GAUGAACGCUGGCGGCGUGCUUAACACAUGCAAGUCGAACGGAAAGGCUCCUGCUUGCAGGGGUACUCGAGUGGCGAACGGGUGAGUAACACGUGGGUGAUCUGCCCUGCACUUCGGGAUAAGCCUGGGAAACUGGGUCUAAUACCGGAUAGGACGAUGGUUUGGAUGCCAUUGUGGAAAGUUUUUCGGUGUGGGAUGAGCUCGCGGCCUAUCAGCUUGUUGGUGGGGUAAUGGCCUACCAAGGCGUCGACGGGUAGCCGGCCUGAGAGGGUGUACGGCCACAUUGGGACUGGGAUACGGCCCAGACUCCUACGGGAGGCAGCAGUGGGGAAUAUUGCACAAUGGGCGCAAGCCUGAUGCAGCGACGCCGCGUGGGGGAUGACGGCCUUCGGGUUGUAAACGCCUUUCGCUAGGGACGAAGCGUUUUGUGACGGUACCUGGAGAAGAAGCACCGGCUAACUACGUG
This 466-nucleotide ribosomal RNA is filed under the name uncultured bacterium. RNAcentral describes it as "partial 16S ribosomal RNA". It matches the Rfam family "Bacterial small subunit ribosomal RNA", at positions 28 to 507 of the family's 1533-position model. The record is from RNAcentral.